This 395-nucleotide ribosomal RNA is filed under the name uncultured bacterium. RNAcentral's name for it is "partial 16S ribosomal RNA". It matches the Rfam family "Bacterial small subunit ribosomal RNA", at positions 338 to 731 of the family's 1533-position model. The record is from RNAcentral.
CCUACGGGCGGCAGCAGUGAGGAAUAUUGGUCAAUGGACGCAAGUCUGAACCAGCCAUGCCGCGUGCAGGAUGACGGCUCUAUGAGUUGUAAACUGCUUUUGUCCGAGGGUAAACCCCGGUACGCGUAUCGGGUUGAGAGUAUCGUAAGAAUAAGGAUCGGCUAACUCCGUGCCAGCAGCCGCGGUAAUACGGAGGAUCCGAGCGUUAUCCGGAUUUAUUGGGUUUAAAGGGUGCGAAGGCGGUUUGAUAAGUUAGAGGUGAAAGGUCGGGGCUCAACCCCGAACCGGCUUCAAAACUGGUGGACUUGAGAAGAAGUGCGGUAGGCGGAAUGUACGGUGUAGCGGUGAAAUGCGUAGAGAGCGUACAGAACACCGAUUGCGAAGGCAGCAUACCA